GUUGGCCGGGCGACGGUUGUCCCGGUUUAAGCGUGUAGGCUGGUUUUCCAGGCAAAUCCGGAAAAUCAAGGCUGAGGCGUGAUGACGAGGCACUACGGUGCUGAAGCAACAAAGGCCCUGCUUCCAGGAAAAGCCUCUAAGCAUCAGGUAACAUCAAAUCGUACCCCAAACCGACACAGGUGGUCAGGUAGAGAAUACCAAGGCGCUUGAGAGAACUCGGGUGAAGGAACUAGGCAAAAUGGUGCCGUAACUUCGGGAGAAGGCACGCUGAUAUGUAGGUGAAGCGACUUGCUCGUGGAGCUGAAAUCAGUCGAAGAUACCAGCUGGCUGCAACUGUUUAUUAAAAACACAGCACUGUGCAAACACGAAAGUGGACGUAUACGGUGUGACGCCUCCCCGGUGCCGGAAGGUUAAUUGAUGGGGUCAGCGCAAGCGAAGCUCUUGAUCGAAGCCCCGGUAAACGGCGGCCGUAACAAUAACGGUCCUAAGGUAGCGAAAUUCCUUGUCGGGUAAGUUCCGACCUGCACGAAUGGCGUAAUGAUGGCCAGGCUGUCUCCACCCGAGACUCAGUGAAAUUGAACUCGCUGUGAAGAUGCAGUGUACCCGCGGCAAGACGGAAAGACCCCGUGAACCUUUACUAUAGCUUGACACUGAACAUUGAGCCUUGAUGUGUAGGAUAGGUGGGAGGCUUUGAAGUGUGGACGCCAGUCUGCAUGGAGCCGACCUUGAAAUACCACCCUUUAAUGUUUGAUGUUCUAACGUGGACCCGUGAUCCGGGUUGCGGACAGUGUCUGGUGGGUAGUUUGACUGGGGCGGUCCCCUCCUAAAGAGUAACGGAGGAGCACGAAGGUUGGCUAAUCCUGGUCGGACAUCAGGAGGUUAGUGCAAUGGCAUAAGCCAGCUUGACUGCGAGCGUGACGGCGCGAGCAGGUGCGAAAGCAGGUCAUAGUGAUCCGGUGGUUCUGAAUGGAAGGGCCAUCGCUCAACGGAUAAAAGGUACUCCGGGGAUAACAGGCUGAUACCGCCCAAGAGUUCAUAUCGACGGCGGUGUUUGGCACCUCGAUGUCGGCUCAUCACAUCCUGGAGCUGAAGUAGGUCCCAAGGGUAUGGCUGUUCGCCAUUUAAAGUGGUACGCGAGCUGGGUUUAGAACGUCGUGAGACAGUUCGGUCCCUAUCUGCCGUGGGCGCUGGAGAACUGAGGGGGGCUGCUCCUAGUACGAGAGGACCGGAGUGGACGCAUCACUGGUGUUCGGGUUGUCAUGCCAAUGGCACUGCCCGGUAGCUAAAUGCGGAAGAGAUAAGUGCUGAAAGCAUCUAAGCACGAAACUUGCCCCGAGAUGAGUUCUCCCUGACUCCUUGAGAGCCCUGAAGGAACGUUGAAGGCGACGACGUUGAUAGGCCGGGUGUGUAAGCGCAGCGAUGCGUUGAGCUAACCGGUACUAAUGAACCGUGAGGCUUAACCUU
This 1464-nucleotide ribosomal RNA is filed under the name metagenome. Its description in RNAcentral is "bacterial LSU rRNA". It matches the Rfam family "Bacterial large subunit ribosomal RNA", at positions 1486 to 2925 of the family's 2925-position model. The record is from RNAcentral.